ACCUUUACAAUGCUCGAAAGUGUGAUAGGGGGAUACUCAGUGCUUACGACUCUGUUGUAGGCUUUUGUCGACCGUAAAUAGAUCGGCGAAUAAGUGGUGGGUAAGACCGGUGCCAGCCGCCGCGGUAACCCCGGCGCCACAAGUGGUCAUCACGAUUAUUGGGCCUAAAGCGUUCGUAGCCGGUUUGGUAAAUCUCUUGUGAAAUUGUUCGGCUUAACCGGACAGCGUGCAGGAGACACUGCCAAGCUCGAGACCGGGAGGCGUUAGAAGUAUGGCAUGGGGACUGGUAAAAUGGGAUAAUCCAUGCUAGACUACCGAUGGCGAAGGCAUCUAACGAGAACGGAUCUGACGGUGAGGAACGAAAGCCAGGGGAGCGAACCGGAUUAGAUACCCGAGUAGUCCUGGCCGUAAACGCUGUGAGCUAGGUGCUGCGUAUCUCAUGAAGAUGCGCGGUGUCGAAACGAAGGUGCUAAGCUCACCGCCUGGGAAGUACGGUCGCAAGACUGAAACUUUA
This 514-nucleotide ribosomal RNA is filed under the name uncultured archaeon. RNAcentral describes it as "bacterial SSU rRNA". It matches the Rfam family "Archaeal small subunit ribosomal RNA", at positions 346 to 859 of the family's 1478-position model. The record is from RNAcentral.